This 274-nucleotide ribosomal RNA is filed under the name uncultured bacterium. RNAcentral's name for it is "partial 16S ribosomal RNA". It matches the Rfam family "Bacterial small subunit ribosomal RNA", at positions 523 to 796 of the family's 1533-position model. The record is from RNAcentral.
AGACGGAGGGGGCUAGCGUUGUUCGGAAUUACUGGGCGUAAAGCGCGCGUAGGCGGAUUGAUCAGUCAGAGGUGAAAUCCCAGGGCUCAACCCUGGAACUGCCUUUGAUACUGUCAAUCUUGAGUUCGAGAGAGGUGAGUGGAAUUCCGAGUGUAGAGGUGAAAUUCGUAGAUAUUCGGAGGAACACCAGUGGCGAAGGCGGCUCACUGGCUCGAUACUGACGCUGAGGUGCGAAAGCGUGGGGAGCAAACAGGAUUAGAUACCCCGGUAGUCC